Long non-coding RNA from Apis laboriosa (Himalayan honeybee), 804 nucleotides. RefSeq lists it as uncharacterized. The transcript is spliced from 4 exons. NCBI's taxonomy places the organism in Eukaryota, Metazoa, Arthropoda, Insecta, Hymenoptera, Apidae. The record is from RefSeq and is a predicted model, not a curated record.
AAAUACUGUAGCAAGGCUGAAAGCGAUAACAACAGUAGCAUUCAUUAUGUAUGACGUCAGAUAUUGCAAACCAAGAAUGAUGGCAUGCCCUGGAUUAGUAUCAACUGGAAUUUUAUAAGUUGGAAAUGUUUAUCAAGUAAUCUUCAUAACUUUAUUACAAGAAUUUGAAAUUAUCUACAAGCGUGCAUAAACGUGCAAACCAAGCACUUACAGAAACGGAAUGUAUCACAAAUUGUAUAGAUCAAGGAUAAAUCGGGAAAAUUCAUUGGAUUUCAUGAUUACAUUAUCGAUCUUUUUUAUACAAAGAAGCUUUGCAGUCACAAAAGGAUUUGUUGGAAUAUAUGAAACUGAAAAUUGAUUGAUGAGUUUUCAUAUUCUUCAUCAUUUUUUUAUUUUCCAGACACUAUUGCAAAGAAGCACGGAAUAAAUCAGCUGAAAUGUCCUUAAUGCAUUAUGCUAUUCAUGCGAGACAAAAACAUAAUAUUUAAUUGGAAACUCUAAAUGGAUCAUUUUGAUCUUCGAAUCGAAAUCUUCUGUUUUGUCGAGGAAAAUGCAUAAAAUAUAGGAGGUAGUAGGAGGAGACUUAAAUUGUCCUCAAGUAAUUCAGUAUGUGUAUACUGCUAGUGCAGUUGAAGUCUCCUCUUAACCACCAGUUGAUUCGAUCACAAGAAUAUGAGAAAAUGAAGUACGCCAGGAAUUAAUGUAAAUAAUGAAAAACUCCAACAAAGAAUGAUUAAAAUUUUCGAUAUUAUUUUUUCGAUCCUAGUAGUAUAAAGGGAAGUUGGCCAUGCACCUAUUGGUUUU